Molecule: long non-coding RNA, 235 nt
Filed under: Capsicum annuum
Lineage: Eukaryota; Viridiplantae; Streptophyta; Magnoliopsida; Solanales; Solanaceae
Description: long non-coding RNA (CANN_LNC013755)
Source: RNAcentral
AGUGAUAAGUGAAAAAUAAAGAAAAACAACAAGUAAAGGGAGUAUUUGGGCCAAAACAUUACAAAGAUAUUAGGGGAUAUGAUCUCUUCCACUCCGUCUACACACUCCCAAUUCUACUUGAUCGAUUCUCACACUUUUAUAAAGAUAUUAGUGCUAUUAAUGACAAUUAAGGAUGAGAAAAUAAAGUAUCAUAGAGAAGAGGGGUUAUAUACUACUAGGGCAUCGCGAAUAUAGG